CUCAGUAACGGCGAGUGAAGCGGCAACAGCUCAAAUUUGAAAUCUGGCCCCCUCCGGGGGUCCGAGUUGUAAUUUGAAGAGGGUGCUUUGGCGUCGGCGGCGGUCUAAGUCCCUUGGAACAGGGCAUCGCAGAGGGUGAGAAUCCCGUAUGUGGCCGCGAGCCUUCGCCGUGUAAAGCCCCUUCGACGAGUCGAGUUGUUUGGGAAUGCAGCUCCAAAUGGGAGGUAAAUAUCUUCUAAAGCUAAAUACUGGCCAGAGACCGAUAGCGCACAAGUAGAGUGAUCGAAAGAUGAAAAGCACUUUGGAAAGAGAGUCAAACAGCACGUGAAAUUGUUGAAAGGGAAGCGCUUGCAGCCAGACUUGCUCGCAGUUGCUCAUCCGGGCCCGCGCCCGGUGCACUCUUCUGCGGGCAGGCCAGCAUCAGUUUGGGCAGCCGGAAAAAGACCUUGGAUCAUGUAUCUUCCUGCGGGAUGACCUUAUAGGGGAGGUGCAAUGCGGCUAGCCCGGACUGAGGUCCGCGCAUUUCGCUAGGAUGCUGGCGUAAUGGCUGUAAGCGGCCCGUCUUGAAACACGGACCAAGGAGUCUAACAUCUAUGCGAGUGUUUGGGUGUCAAGCCCGGACGCGCAAUGAAAGUGAACGGAGGUGGGAGCCCUCUCGGGGGUGCACCAUCGACCGAUCCUGAUGUCUUCGGAUGGAUUUGAGUAAGAGCAUAGCUGUUGGGACCCGAAAGAUGGUGAACUAUGCUUGAAUAGGGUGAAGCCAGAGGAAACUCUGGUGGAGGCUCGCAGCGGUUCUGACGUGCAAAUCGAUCGUC
This 815-nucleotide ribosomal RNA is filed under the name Aquastroma magniostiolatum. Its description in RNAcentral is "partial large subunit ribosomal RNA". It matches the Rfam family "Eukaryotic large subunit ribosomal RNA", at positions 79 to 906 of the family's 3401-position model. The record is from RNAcentral. Lineage: Eukaryota; Fungi; Ascomycota; Dothideomycetes; Pleosporales; Parabambusicolaceae.